UGGGGAAUUUUGGACAAUGGGCGAAAGCCUGAUCCAGCAAUGCCGCGUGUGUGAAGAAGGCCUUCGGGUUGUAAAGCACUUUUGUCCGGAAAGAAAUCCUCUGGGUUAAUACCUCGGGGGGAUGACGGUACCGGAAGAAUAAGCACCGGCUAACUACGUGCCAGCAGCCGCGGUAAUACGUAGGGUGCAAGCGUUAAUCGGAAUUACUGGGCGUAAAGCGUGCGCAGGCGGUUUUGUAAGACGGAUGUGAAAUCCCCGGGCUUAACCUGGGAACUGCAUUCGUGACUGCAAGGCUAGAGUAUGGCAGAGGGGGGUAGAAUUUCACGUGUAGCAGUGAAAUGCGUAGAGAUGUGGAGGAAUACCGAUGGCGAAGGCAGCCCCCUGGGCCAAUACUGACGCUCAUGCACGAAAGCGUGGGGAGCAAACAGGAUUAGAUACCCUGGUAGUCCACGCCCUAAACGAUGUCAACUAGUUGUUGGGGAUUCAUUUCCUUAGUAACGUAGCUAACGCGUGAAGUUGACCGCCUGGGGAGUACGGUCGCAAGAUUAAAACUUAAAUGAAUUGACGGGGUCAUAGCUGUUUCCU
RNAcentral lists this ribosomal RNA (585 nucleotides) under uncultured bacterium. Its description in RNAcentral is "partial 16S ribosomal RNA". It matches the Rfam family "Bacterial small subunit ribosomal RNA", at positions 355 to 1375 of the family's 1533-position model. The record is from RNAcentral.